RNAcentral lists this ribosomal RNA (433 nucleotides) under uncultured bacterium. RNAcentral describes it as "partial 16S ribosomal RNA". It matches the Rfam family "Bacterial small subunit ribosomal RNA", at positions 29 to 507 of the family's 1533-position model. The record is from RNAcentral.
AACGAACGCUGGCGGCAUGCCUAACACAUGCAAGUCGAACGAGACCCUCGGGUCUAGUGGCGCACGGGUGCGUAACGCGUGGGAACCUGCCCUUAGGUUCGGAAUAACUCCCCGAAAGGGGUGCUAAUACCGGAUAAUGUCUUCGGACCAAAGAUUUAUCGCCUUUGGAUGGGCCCGCGUUGGAUUAGCUAGUUGGUAGGGUAAAAGCCUACCAAGGCGACGAUCCAUAGCUGGUCUGAGAGGAUGAUCAGCCACACUGGGACUGAGACACGGCCCAGACUCCUACGGGAAGCAGCAGUGGGGAAUAUUGGACAAUGGGCGAAAGCCUGAUCCAGCAAUGCCGCGUGAGUGAUGAAGGCCUUAGGGUUGUAAAGCUCUUUUACCCGGGAUGAUAAUGACAGUACCGGGAGAAUAAGCUCCGGCUAACUCCGUG